AUAUGCGACCUUGACGACAACGACAAAACACACGCACAAACAGAGAAGAAACGAUGUGGAUAAUCACAGUGGCGUGGGACGACCACCAUCCCAAUUAAAUAGUUCGCAAAGAUGCGGCCGUUACCACCACUUGCCAUUAGCCUCCACAACCUGUCUGCGCAUACUGCGAUGUUCUCGAUCCUGUUGCUCGAAGAAGACUACUAUAACUAUAUAUAAUAUCAACGCUGUUGCUACACAAAGAUACGGACAACAUGGCGGAUGAAACACCUCAUACCAAUGCUAAUACCAGUACAAAUGUCAAUGCCAAUGCUAAUGGCGAAGUUGAUGAGCGCGAUCAUAAUCUCUCGUUGGGUCGACAACAAUCUUCGGACCUGCCUGCGUUGACUUCUACAGGAAGGGCUAUUCAGGCUUGUGAUAGGUGUCGGUUUAAGAAGGUUCGAUGCGAUGGCGCGGUUCCAACUUGUGGAAGAUGUAAAACGGCAGGCCUCGAGUGUCUUACCACGGUCAAACUUAACCGCAAGUCUUACCCAAGAAGUUAUACUGAAUCUAUUGAGGAACGCCUACGGCAGCUGGAAGCGGAGGUCCAUAAGCUAAGGGUGGGUAAUGAGAACAAAGAUAAGCGCAUUAAGGAACUGGAAGCGUCGGGUGCGAAUGCAUCUUCUCCAAGGCAAGCUGGUUUUUCGACAACGGCCAAUCGCCCUGAGAGUGUGCCAAAGCUUAGCCCAAGACCACCAACGGACGAACCUCUUUCUCGAGAAGUCGGACGCAUGAAUCUUGAUCGAAGGGGAAUAGGGCGUUUCAUGGGAUCCUCAUCUGGAAUAUUCUUUAUAGGGACCGCUGAGCAACGUUUCGCCAAUAUCCCCAAUCAUUCCGCGAAGAAAAUUGGGGAUUCGCUGCUUAGAGUCGAUGUGGAUGAUCAGACGACCGAGUAUCCCAUUCACCAUGUUGUUGACUCUGCGGCGACUUUGACCCCGCUACCUCCCCGUGAAACUGCUGAGCGGUACAUUGAUGUCUGGUUCAAUGCUUGGAGGCACAUCUUUCCCAUAUUGCAUCGCCCGUCGUUCGCGAAUUCACUCCACCAACUCUAUGAUAGCCCUUCUCCUGAACAUGAACCUCCUGUUCUAGGAAUAUUUUAUCUUAUACUGGCGCUUGGCUGCCGCCACCUUUUCCUCACUGGAGAUGCGACCGGAGGAAAUCCCACUGUGAAGAGCAACCAGGAAGAUAUUGAAUAUUACAGCCAGUCAUCUAAAUAUCACAAUGAUAUUUUAGCGUUGAAUAAUCUCACUACCUUGCAGUAUCAAGAACUGCAGACCUUGUGGUUUUUAUACACUGGAAAGCGCAGUCUGGCGUUUCAAGUGACUGGGAGUAUGACUCGCCUCGCGCUUGAACUGGGACUGCAUCGGCACACGAGGCGAUUUCAAUUCGGUCCGUUAGAGACUGAAUUAAGGAAGAGGGUUUUUUGGGUUUGUUAUAUGCUUGAUAAUUUUGUAUCCGCUAUUCAUGGGCUACCGAAAUCCUUUCGUGAUCAGGAUAUCGACGUCGAGCAUCCCUCAGAUGUCGACGACGAUUUCGUUAACUCAAGCAGCUAUUUGCUUUCAUUACCUGGCGAGCCUACUGGGAUGCUGACGUUCGUCUCGCUGAUCGAAGUUGUUCGAAUUCUUUCCAAUACCCUUGAAAUUCUUUACACGACCACUGAUAGAAGGCAAACUGUCACCAAAAUCAAGACGAUAGACAGAUUACUCGACCAAUGGAUCCAUACCCUUCCAGAUCACCUUCAAUUGGACUCAACUCCAUUUUCCCAGCCUCCGCCAGCUUUUGGUGAUACUCGUACACUUAUUGAGCCUUCAAUCGCCUUCUUACAUAUAUCAUACCUGUACAUUCGUCUUUCCGCUCAUCGAGUUGCGCUCUCGUUCUUUCCAUCGCAACCACACUAUUGCAUCUCGCUUGUGAAAUGCAUGGAUAUCGCUAAAGACCUUGUAUUUUUGAACUCUCAUUCCCGGCGAUUUUUACUGGUGUUCGAUGUCAAUCCCGGUUCCCAUGUCUACACUCUGUGGACGUGUGGGUUGCUAUCCCUAUUCGGGAUGCAUGAAUUUCGAAAUGGGAAUCAAAAGAUUGAGCUAUCCAUGAAAUCCCAAGAUGAUGCAAGAACAUCGUUGUUAACCUGUGUUGAUCUUCUAGAUGCCUUUGUAGCGGCUGGUCGAGACGGAGAGAAAGUCCGGUCUGAUAAUUUACGUUGUAUAUCAACGGCUCUUUCAGAUAAUUCCCAGAUAUCAGAUUCUACUUCAUCGCAAACUGACCAGCCCGAGGUGUGGAACCAACCACCUCCGCUGAUUUUACAGAAGCAGCUUCAACAACAUCAGCAGCAGCAACGGCAGCACCAUCAGUCAGUGGACAUCGCACAUACACCCUCGUCAUCAAACCAAUCACCGUCCCUUACCACUCCUCCUGCACAAUUUCCCCAAUUCCUCCCACAUUCAAUAUAUCCACAUCCGUCCCCAAACAAUCUAUCCACCCCAGAUACUCAAAUACAAAACCCUCCACGACCACAGUUGCAGCCACAACCACCACUCCCACAUCCACAAACAGACAUGCAAUCUCCCGGCCUCUCCCGCCUAGCAAUGUCCGCGACCUCCCCUUCGUUCCUAAACACCUUCGACAUCGAUUUCUCAAGUCCCUUCGCCCACCCCUACGACCGCAUCUCCGAUGCCUUCCCUCCACACCCCGCUCCUGACAACGGUACAAACAACAACCAGCAAAUCGCCUCUGGCUUGACAUCCUCAACACAUCACCAAAGCCACCAGCAUCCACAGCAACACCCCCACCCGCACCCUCACCCUCAUCAGCGCCAGCAGUCAAUCAGUCACGUCUGGGAUGACCCUGUAUUUAACCUUGCGUCGAUAAUGCGUGUGUCAGAAGCUGGAGACACUGGAAAUGGGAGUACCAACAGUGUUUCAUUUCCUAUGCAGGAUAUUGCGAGC
Molecule: small RNA, 2978 nt
Filed under: Histoplasma capsulatum var. duboisii H88
Lineage: Eukaryota; Fungi; Ascomycota; Eurotiomycetes; Onygenales; Ajellomycetaceae
Description: Histoplasma capsulatum H88 hypothetical RNA
Source: RNAcentral